This 464-nucleotide long non-coding RNA is filed under the name Pongo abelii (Sumatran orangutan). RNAcentral describes it as "lincRNA". The record is from RNAcentral. Lineage: Eukaryota; Metazoa; Chordata; Mammalia; Primates; Hominidae.
AUAUAUGAUCUCCGGUUGUUUUGUGAUCCCAGGAUCUACUGAGAUGUAUAGCAUAAGAAGUUAUGCAGUUCCUGGAUUUUGUGGAUUUUGUAAGUUUCCCAGCUUCUCCAUUGCUCUUGAGUGUCAUUUUUUCAGGGCAAUCAUAAAAACGGGCAGGGCAUGAAGCAUUGCAAGCAGAUCUGAAACCUGGAUUUCCAAACAUAUCAGAGAAAGAAGAAAAACAGGUCCUCACUGCCCUGUAGGACAAACCAGAACACGACGACCAGAGGAUUCAGCUCCUAACCAAUCAAAUAGAGGAUUCAAAAAUACCCAAUCAAGAGGAUUGAAAAACAGACCCUUCUGAAUGGACAAAGGGAGAACAAGGGAGGGAACAACGUGGGGAUAUAAGUCAGACUAGCAACAGCACCCUCUUCCCGGUCCCCUUCCACCACGUGGAAGCUUUACUUUUGGUUUGCUCAAUAAAC